RNAcentral lists this ribosomal RNA (253 nucleotides) under uncultured bacterium. Its description in RNAcentral is "partial 16S ribosomal RNA". It matches the Rfam family "Bacterial small subunit ribosomal RNA", at positions 524 to 776 of the family's 1533-position model. The record is from RNAcentral.
UACAGAGGGGGCAAGCGUUGUUCGGAAUUACUGGGCGUAAAGGGCGCGUAGGCGGCCUGCUAAGUCGAACGUGAAAUCCCUGGGCUCAACCCAGGAACUGCGUCCGAUACUGGUUGGCUUGAAUCCGGGAGAGGGAUGUGGAAUUCCAGGUGUAGCAGUGAAAUGCGUAGAUAUCGUGAGGAAGACCAGUUGCGAAGGCGGAUCUCUGGGCAGUUCCUGACACUGAGGCACGAAGGCCAGGGGAGCAAACGGG